This 253-nucleotide ribosomal RNA is filed under the name uncultured bacterium. RNAcentral's name for it is "partial 16S ribosomal RNA". It matches the Rfam family "Bacterial small subunit ribosomal RNA", at positions 524 to 776 of the family's 1533-position model. The record is from RNAcentral.
UACGAAGGGGGCUAGCGUUGCUCGGAAUCACUGGGCGUAAAGCGCACGUAGGCGGACUCUUAAGUCGGUGGUGAAAUCCUGGAGCUCAACUCCAGAACUGCCUUCGAUACUGAGAGUCUCGAGUCCGAGAGAGGUGAGUGGAACUGCGAGUGUAGAGGUGAAAUUCGUAGAUAUUCGCAAGAACACCAGUGGCGAAGGCGGCUCACUGGCUCGGUACUGACGCUGAGGUGCGAAAGCGCGGGGAGCAAACAGG